CCAGGAGGGGUGGGGGCGCUGCAGACACUGCUGGUUCGGAAGCGACCGCCGCUGCUGGGCAUCCUCGGCGCCACUG
RNAcentral lists this microRNA precursor (76 nucleotides) under Canis lupus familiaris (dog). RNAcentral's name for it is "miRNA (ENSCAFG00000052331.1)". The record is from RNAcentral. Lineage: Eukaryota; Metazoa; Chordata; Mammalia; Carnivora; Canidae.